RNAcentral lists this long non-coding RNA (464 nucleotides) under Mytilus galloprovincialis (Mediterranean mussel). The record is from RNAcentral. Lineage: Eukaryota; Metazoa; Mollusca; Bivalvia; Mytilida; Mytilidae.
CUUGGCCAAAUUUAUUAAAUAUAUUGCAUAUGCAUCGCAUUGGUUGUUUCUUGCUGUCCUAUUAUAUUCAUUUAUGGUAUUUGAAGUGAAAAUAAGCACAAAACCAGUCAUUUUGACAAUUAAGAUUCUAUCAAGGAACCCUUUUAAGGUGACUAUAUUAGGGACAAAAACAAAAUGUGUACAAUAGAUAUCAAAAGAAGGUGUGGUAUGAUUGCCAAAGAGACAACUCUCCACAAGAGACCAAAAUGACACAGAAAUUACCAACAAUAGUUCACCAUACGGUCGUCAACAAUGAACAAAGCCCAUGCCGCAUAGUCAGCUAUAAAAUGCCCCGAAAUAACAAUGUAAAACGAGAAAACUAAUGGCUUAUUUAUGUACAAAAAAAUGAAUGAAAAACAAAUAUAUAUAUGUAACACAUAAACAAACAACCACUGAAUAAGUAUACAAGACAAAAAGAAAAGGAC